UCAAGCGAACAAGGGCGCAGGGCGAAUGCCUUGGCACUGGGAGCCGAUGAAAGACGUGAUAAGCUGCGAUAAGCUUCGGGGAGCUGCAAAUAAGCAUUGAUCCGGAGAUUUCUGAAUGAGGAAACUCACCUGGGUUCAUACUCAGGUACGUUAUACUGAACUUCAAAAUAGGUAUAUCGAGGGAACCGCCUGAACUGAAACAUCUAAGUAGGGCGAGGAAGAGACAUCAAACGAGAUUCCGUAAGUAGUGGCGAGCGAACGCGGAAGAGGGCAAACCGAGAGUAGAAAUACUUUCGGGGUACGGACUGCUUUUAGGACUUAAUCUGUUAACCGAACGGCAUGGGAAGGCCGGUCAGAGAGUGUGAGAACCACGUAGGUGAAAACGGAGAGAGCUGCGCAGGAUCCAGAGUACGGCCAGACACGUGAAACCUGGUCGGAAUAUGGGGGGACCACCCUCCAACCCUAAAUACUACCCAGUGACCGAUAGCGUAUAGUACUGUGAAGGAAAGGUGAAAAGCACCCCGGGAGGGGAGUGAAAAAGAACCUGAAACCCUGUGCCUACAAGCACCUAGAGCACGUCAAUGUGUGAUAGGGUACUUUUUGUAGAACGGUCCGGCGAGCGAUUGUAUGCAGCAAGGUUAAGGACUUAAGGUCUGGAGCCGAAGCGAAAGCGAGUUUGAAAAGGGCGUUAAGUUGCAUAUAAUGGGCCCGAAACCGGGUGACCUACCCAUGGUCAGGUUGAAGUGGAAGUAAAAUUCCAUGGAGGACCGAACCGACCUCCGUUGAAAAGGCGGCGGAUGAACUGUGGGUAGCGGAGAAAUUCCAAUCGAACCCGGAGAUAGCUGGUUCUCCCCGAAAUAGUUUUAGGACUAGCCUCAAGUUAGAUACCUGGAGGUAAAGCACUGAAUAGCCUAGCGGCCGAGAGGUUAGCGAAGCUUAUCAAACUCAGAAUGCCAGAGUAUUGAUGCUUGGGAGUCAGACAGUGUCAGAUAAAUGUCAUUGUCAAAAGGGAAACAGCCCAGAUCUACAGCUAAGGUCCCAAAGUCAGGUUAAGUGGAAAACGAUGUGAAGAUACGCAGACAACCAGGAUGUUGGCUCAGAAGCAGCCACUCAUUCAAAGAGUGCGUAAUAGCUCACUGGUCGAGCGUCUUUGCGCGGAGAAUUUAACGGGGCUAAACCUGACACCGAAGCUUAGGCAAUACAGCAAUGUAUUGGGUAGGGGAGCGUUGUAUACGCGGUGAAACAGUAGCGCAAGCGGCUGUGGAGUGUAUAGAAGUGAGAAUGCCGGAAUGAGUAGCGCGAAUGCAGUGAGAAUCUGCAUGGCCGAAAGCCUCAGGUUUCUGGAGGAAGGUUCGUCCGCUCCAGGUUAGUCGGGAGCUAAGGUGAGGCCUAACGGCGUAGCCGAUGCACAGACGGUAGAGAUUCCGUCACCACCAAAAGAGUUAAACACAGGGACACAUUUGAAGUCUCGGAGCCGGGUGUUGGUUCCGGUAGCGAUCGAGGGAAGUUAGUACCGAAGUCCGGGAUGGAAGAUGGCGAGAAAAGCUGUGUGUAUUUCUGCGGUGCCCGUACCGCAAACCGACACAGGUAGGUAGGAAGAAGAUUCUAAGGCCAACGGGAGAAGGGUUGUUAAGGAACUCGGCAAAUUGACCCCGUAACUUCGGGAGAAGGGGUGCUCCAGAGAUGGAGCCGCAGAGAAUCGGCCCAAGCAACUGUUUACCAAAAACACAGGUUUGUGCUAAAUCGAAAGAUGACGUAUACGAGCUGACGCCUGCCCGGUGCUGGAAGGUUAAGAGGAGAUGUGCAAGCAUUGAAUCGAAGCCCCAGUGAACGGCGGCCGUAACUAUAACGGUCCUAAGGUAGCGAAAUUCCUUGUCAGGUAAG
This 1884-nucleotide ribosomal RNA is filed under the name human gut metagenome. RNAcentral describes it as "bacterial LSU rRNA". It matches the Rfam family "Bacterial large subunit ribosomal RNA", at positions 3 to 1980 of the family's 2925-position model. The record is from RNAcentral.